GAUGAACGCUAGCUACAGGCUUAACACAUGCAAGUCGAGGGGCAGCACAGUGUAGCAAUACAUGGGUGGCGACCGGCGCACGGGUGCGUAACGCGUAUCCAACCUUCCCGUUACUCUUGGAUAGCCUUCCGAAAGGGAGAUUAAUACAAGAUGGUAUUCAAAUUCCGCAUGUUAUUUGAAUUAAAGAUUUAUCGGUAACGGAUGGGGAUGCGUGACAUUAGAUAGUAGGCGGGGUAACGGCCCACCUAGUCUACGAUGUCUAGGGGUUCUGAGAGGAAGGUCCCCCACACUGGAACUGAGACACGGUCCAGACUCCUACGGGAGGCAGCAGUGGGGAAUAUUGCACAAUGGGCGAAAGCCUGAUGCAGCAACGCCGCGUGAGCGAUGAAGGCCUUCGGGUCGUAAAGCUCUGUCCUCAAAGAAAGAUAAAUGACGGUACUUGAGGAGGAAGCCCCGGCUAACUACGUG
RNAcentral lists this ribosomal RNA (468 nucleotides) under uncultured bacterium. Its description in RNAcentral is "bacterial SSU rRNA". It matches the Rfam family "Bacterial small subunit ribosomal RNA", at positions 28 to 507 of the family's 1533-position model. The record is from RNAcentral.